This 429-nucleotide ribosomal RNA is filed under the name Verrucomicrobiota bacterium. RNAcentral's name for it is "Verrucomicrobia bacterium partial 16S ribosomal RNA". It matches the Rfam family "Bacterial small subunit ribosomal RNA", at positions 355 to 776 of the family's 1533-position model. Lineage: Bacteria; Pseudomonadati; Verrucomicrobiota. The record is from RNAcentral.
UAGGGAAUCUUCCGCAAUGGACGAAAGUCUGACGGAGCAACGCCGCGUGAGUGAAGAAGGAUUUCGGUUCGUAAAACUCUGUUGUUAGGGAAGAAAAAAUGUAUAGUAACUAUAUACAAAAGAGACGGUACCUAACCAGAAAGCCACGGCUAACUACGUGCCAGCAGCUGCGGUAAUACGUAGGUGGCAAGCGUUGUCCGGAAUUAUUGGGCGUAAAGCGCGCGCAGGUGGUUUAGAAAGUCUGAUGUGAAAGCCCACGGCUCAACCGUGGAGGGUCAUUGGAAACUAAUAAACUUGAGUGCAGGAGAGAAAAGUGGAAUUCCUAGUGUAGCGGUGAAAUGCGUAGAGAUUAGGAGGAACACCGGUGGCGAAAGCGGCUUUUUGGCCUGCAACUGACACUGAGGCGCGAAAGCGUGGGGAGCAAACAGG